GAAGUUUAAAUUUGUGAAGAUAGAGUUUUACAUGACAUGUCCUUUAGAUGGAGUUUAAGAGACCCCUUUUUGUUCAAGCUUUUUUCUUAUUCAUUGUUUUAGCGGUGUCUUACACUUCAUUUAUAUGUAUUAAUGUAUGUAUUGAGCACCAAAAACAUGAUUUGUAUGUUGAACUUGAUUUAUUCUUUUCCUAUGUAAUUUGUUAUUUUUAUACUACGUGUGAAGUGAACAAUGCUUGCCAAUCAAACGAAUAUCAAUUGAGAUGUAGGUACAUAUAUAUAUAUAUAGACGAGUUGCAUUGCAA
This 304-nucleotide long non-coding RNA is filed under the name Trifolium pratense (red clover). Its description in RNAcentral is "long non-coding RNA (TPRA_LNC007861)". Lineage: Eukaryota; Viridiplantae; Streptophyta; Magnoliopsida; Fabales; Fabaceae. The record is from RNAcentral.